UACGAAGGGUGCAAACGUUGCUCGGAAUUACUGGGCGUAAAGAGCUCGUAGGUGGUUUGUCGCGUUGUCCGUGAAAACUCACAGCUCAACUGUGGGCGUGCGGGCGAUACGGGCAGACUGGAGUACUGCAGGGGAGACUGGAAUUCCUGGUGUAGCGGUGGAAUGCGCAGAUAUCAGGAGGAACACCGGUGGCGAAGGCGGGUCUCUGGGCAGUAACUGACGCUGAGGAGCGAAAGCGUGGGGAGCGAACAGG
Molecule: ribosomal RNA, 253 nt
Filed under: uncultured bacterium
Lineage: Bacteria
Description: partial 16S ribosomal RNA
Rfam family: Bacterial small subunit ribosomal RNA
Source: RNAcentral